UGUUGUUGUUGGUUUUCCUAAUGAGCAUUUGCUUCUGCAAGCAGGCUUCUUCUUCUGUUAAGAGUCGGCCUUGCUCAAGGUCGCCAUGGUGACGAACUUUUGUUGCCUGAUCGAUAAGAACUCCAACUAUUUCAAUUAGCCCCUGUCUUGCAGCUAGGUGUAAGGCAGUCUCACCGCUCUUAUUGUGCUGCCAUAGUAGUGCGGGACACAUUUCAAGGAUAUCCUUCACAAUCCCGGCUGACUCCAAUGUGUUUUGUCCAGAUGUCGGCCUGCUUAAGCACGCUAUAUAAACAAGAAGGACCGUGUUAUUUGUUGCAGUCAGUUUUAGGUCAAGAUGUUCUGCAUGUUCCCUGAGGGCAUCAAGGUCGCCUUGUUUCGCAGCACGAAACACAUCCAGUUCCAUGCCACCUAUCGAAACUGUAUUAUUGGCUUCUUUAGUAGCUCCCUCCUUAGUCUGAACUGCUAAGUGGUCAGUACUACUAGCACUCUCGGCCUGAUCAGUUGAAUGGGAAUGAUCCAUUUUUUGAUAUUUCGUUAUUACGUGCCUAGACAAGGGGAACUUUUGGCCUAAUACAAGUAUAAUCAGAAAGAACUUGCUGAUCUUUGACUGGAUGAUGGGAAUUUAAAUGAAAAGGAACAAUGGAUGAGAUUUGAGAGACUCAAGAGUGAAGAGUAAGCAAGGAAUACAAGAUGAGAUAAUUUAUAGAGCAGGAAUCCAAUGCAAUGCCACACUUCUGCAAAGACUGCAAUAGUACUGCAAUAGUACUGCAAUAAUUGGAGUGACUUUAUCUUUAUUGCGCAUGUCGUUUUCAAUUUUUUUUUUAAUUUUUGCGGGUAAUGUAGGAAGAUUAAUUUAGUUUUUUUCUAGUAUUACUCAUAUUGGUACAUGUCAAUUUUCAAAUUAAUUAAAAAAAAUCUUUGAUGUAUGUCAGUUAUCAAAUUAAAUGAUACCGAAUCUUUAUAUUUUAUUAAAAAUUUAUCUUUGACGGACCCAAAAAAAGAGCCCAGCAAGCAUAGCACUUCCACAGCAAAAGCCCCACUCCCACUGCUUGCCAUGGCUAGGGGUGGAUUUUUUUGCCAAAUUGCCGUGCCAACCGAAUUGCCAACUGUGUCAUACCGAUUUUGUGCCAAAUUUUUUGUACCAAUCGGUAAUGAUACGGUAUUGUACCGUAUCGAAAUUUCAUGGUACGGUAUUGGUAAUGGAUACCAUUACCACGGUAUUACCGUACCAUACCGAAAAUACAAUAUAAUAUAUAAUUUAUAAAUUAUAAAUUAUAUAAUAGAUAAUUAUAUAACACAUAUUUAUAAUAUUCCAAUAAUUUGAAAAUAAAACCCUACUUAUAUUAGCAUUGUUGUUGGUGACUUUGAUCUCUUGAAAUUGUGGAAAUCAAAUACAAAAGAAUUCCUAAUUGUUUCACAAAUAGCCAAAAUAUCUUUCUAACCCCCACUUCUACUGUUGCUAGUGAAGUUGCUAGUGAAAAUGCAUUUAGACUAGGGAGGAGGGUUGUGGACCCUUUUAGGGUAUCCUUGACUCCUAAAAUAAUGGAGGUACUAGUGCAUACUAGUGGUUGGCUUAGGGCAGAUGAAGUAAACUUCUACAAGGAACCAACGGAAGAUAUGCUUCAAUUUUACAAGAAAAUGGAAGAAGAGAAAACAAGAAAGAUAUGCUUUAAUUUUUUUAGUAAAUUUGUUAUUAAAUGGUUUUCAACUUUAAUUCUUCUUGCUACUAAUUAAUAUGUUUUCUUUGUUUGUAAUGUAGGCUUGACACAAACUCAAUAUUCUACAAAUUCAAUGCCUCCUCCAAAAGCUUCGACAUCUCAAGCUUGAAUAAUUGAUCAAUGAAUUCUCCUUUUUGAAGUUUACUUCCAAUUUUCAUUUGGUUUGAAACUUUAAUUUCUAAUUGGAUUGUUAACUUUUAUUUGUUUUGGUUCGUAACUUCUAUUUGGAUUGUAAGCUUAAUUUUCAUGAUGAAUCUUGAUGCAUCAUUUGAAUUAUUAUGUGUGUGAAUUGUGAAUGAUGAAUUUAAUCUAUAAUGUAUGAGAUAAAGGUACAAAAAAAAAAGUUUUGCCCUUGAAUUGGGUUAAAAAAACAAAAACAGAUUUUGUCCCAAAACAAAAUGGCAAUUACCAUUGCCAUACCAUGCCAACCGAACUUUUGACAAUACCGAACUUCGGUAUACCGAAAGUUUGGUACGGUAAUGGUAAUAUAUUUUACCAAACCGAAAGUUUGGUACGGUAAUUAGUACAAGGGUUUUGGUACGGUAACCGUACCGAACCCACCCCUAGCAAUGGCUGCCGCCCCUCCUUACCCAAAAUUUUUGCUUAUUUCCUCAUCUGAGUUGCAGCAAUUUAUUAGGUUUUCUCCAUUUUAGUUUAUGGAAAAAAGAAAGUGAUUGGACUUUAAAUCAGAUGAACCAUACAAAUCUUAUUUUUAUCCAAUCUCAUCAUCUUCAUCAACAAAAAUGUUCCAACAAAUUCCACGUAUCAGGAAGAAAGCGAUGGUGAGAAGAUUAUGGACAUCAUGGUUCUUUUUCAUUGGAUAAUACAAAUUGGCUGUUUCUACGCCUCUAUUGAACCUGAAAAUUUUGUACAUCUCAAGCACUUGGAAGGAGACUAAGAUCAUCUCCGGAGAUUUGCCUCCAGAGCCAACAUACCCAUUAAUUAUGGACACUAAAUUUAAUCGUCUAGCCAUGAAACCAGAGGGGAAAGGGUGCAGGCAAUGAGAGGAGGAGGACACGGGGAUGGGGUUGGAUAAUGGUAGUCAUGGAGGUGGGUGACUGCUUUUUUUUUUUUUUUUUUUUUUUAAAAGAUACGAUAGUUACUUUCAUUUCAUCAUAAAUUUCAUUACAAGAGUUUAUCCAUUUCUAAGCAUAGAGCUAGCACAGUCAUCCACAAGUAUAUCAGUUAUAAUACUAGGCGGAGAAUCAAUCCAUUCACAACUUUGCAUCAGAGAUAGUCUAACUUUGCAAGGUAGUGAGCAGCAGCGUUCGCAUUACGAUGAAUGUAGGUGAUAUUUGCUUCAGUGAUUGUGUUGAGCAGAGCUUUGUAAUCCUCCACAACUUGCCCAAUGAUUGACAAAUUAAGAGUAAGAUCCCUCAGCGCCUCUACAAUCUGAAGCGAGUCAGUUUCAAUAAUAAGGAAUUGAUAGCCCCUAUCAAUUGCCCAUAGCAAACCUACCUUCAUUGCCAUAGCUUCGGAGAGCAAUGGGGAGCAUAUAUCUUUAAAGCUUCCAGUACGAGUAGCCACAAAACACCCAUCGCUGUCUCUGAUAAUGGCCCCGAAUCCUGCAAUGAGUCUUCCUACAUUCCAGGACCCAUCAAUAUUCAUCUUGAUUCGUCCAUGUGGUAGGACACUCCAUCUGGGGGUGUUUCUCAGCCUACUAUCCUGUUCCGAGCCUGCGUUUUUGGUCCUAGUAAACUCCAGCCACCAUUGGAUGGCACGAUUAGUGCAUACCUCAGGUGGUUCCAGUUUUUCCUCCCAGAGUUUCAUGUUCCGUGCCCUCCAUAAUGUCCAAUAGACCAUCAGAAAAACAUUGAAACGUGCCUUGGGUAUAAGGUCAGCCACUUCAUCGAUCCAUAUCAUAAAGGAAGGAGGAUGAUUGUUUCUCAAAAGUGUACCCACCCGCGAGCUCAUCCAUGCACAUCUCGCAUAAUGGCAAUCCUUCAUUAGAUGAAUGGUAGAUUCAUCAUAGGCUCCACACAAUACACAUUCCAUAUCCAUGGUAAUAUGUCUUGCCACCAAAUUGGCCCUAGUAGGAACCAAUUCAUUGGCAAUUCUCCAUACGUAAAUUUUGACUUUUGGUGGUACCUGUGCAUUCCACACCUUCACCCACACCUUAGCUUCAUCACCAUUUGAGGACGAUGCCCCACAAUUUGUGGGUUGUAGCCAAUUCCUUGCCACAUGGUAAGCCGACUGGACCGUAAAUCUUCCCUGUCUUUCAUGGUGCCACAACAAGUGAUCCGGUGGGUUUCGUACACUUAAGGGGAUUGUCUGGAUUAGAUUUACCUCAUCUUCAAAGAAGAGGCUUUCAAGCACAUCAAUUUUCCAACACUUUGCAACGAGAUCAAUCAACUUGUUCACCAUUGUCAGCGUGCAUCCUACCGGUUUGGGAGAAUAGGGACGAAAUCGAGAUGAGAUGGGGAUCCAAUGGUCCUCCCAGAUCCAAAUGGAUAGCCCAGUACCCACCUGCCAUCUUAGACCCAAACUUAAAACAUUUUGUGUAGUGCAAAUACUUUUCCAUACAUACGAUGCUUCAGGCUUCAAUGAAGCUUCCAUAAAAGAGCUAGUUGGAAAAUACUUUACCCUUAGGACCGUUGCAACCAGAGAAUGUGGAUUAGCCAACAAUCUCCACCCCUGCUUUGCUAACGUACCCAAGUUGAAUGCAUAUAAGAACCAAAACCCAAGUCCACCCUCAAUUUUGGAUUACACAGGCGUUCCCACGAGCACCAAUGCAUUUUCUUUUCUCUUUCAUCGCCACUCCACUAAUAGGAUGCAACCAGCUUGUUUAGCUCAUCACAAAAUAAUUUAGGCAAAAGAAAACAGCCCAUGAAGUAGUUGGGGAUUGCCUGUGCCACGGCCUUCACCAACACCUCUUUCCCUACGACACUUAGCAACUUUCCUUUCCAACUCUUUAAGCUCUUCCAUAGACGAUCCUUAAGAUACCUUUAUCAACCCCCGCCGUUCCCGCUAAGCGAUCAACGUAACCAGCUUGUUUAGCUCAUCACAAAAUAACAGAUGAUUAAUCGAUGGUAUUUCUGGACAAAUUGAGAUGCCAUUUAUCAACCCCUGCCGUUCUCGUUGAGCGAUCAACGCUGACAGUCCCUCUGAACACAUAAUAAAUAUAUAUGGUGAUAAAGGAUCUUCCUGGCGUAAUCCACGUGAUGGGAGAAUAUAAACCCCGUGGGCAACCAUUUACCAGUACAGAAUAUGAAAUCGUAGUCACACAGAGCAUGAUGAGUUUAAUCCAAAGCUAAGAGAAACCCAUCUUAGUAAAGAUUCGAUGUAAGAAUCCCUACUCAAUCCGAUCGUACGCCUUACUUAUAUCUAGUUUUAGUGCAAAACCUUUCUUCCCUCGGCACCGUCUAAACAGAUAGUUAUCAAUUUCUGAUGCUAAUAUGGUAUUGUCAGAGAUAUUACGACUUGGCACGAAGGCACUUUAUGUUUGUGAGAUGAUCUUAUGGAUAAUAACCUUAAGGCGAUUCGCAAGUACCUUAGAAAUGAUUCUGAACAGGACAUUGCAUAGACUGAUAGGCCGAAACUGAGUUACUUCCUCUUGUUGUUUUGUUUUAGGAAUAAGGUUGACAUAUGUAAAGUUUAUUUGCUUCAACAAUUUCCUUGAUGCUUGGAAGUUUUUAAUCGCAUUUGUAAUGUCAUCCCCAACGAUAUUCCAAAAUUUUUGGAAAAAGAAAUGAUUCAUUCCGUCGGGGCUCGGAGCCUUAAAUGGUUGCAUCUGAAAGACCGCAUCUCCAACUUCCUCAGUCGUAAUUACUCCUUCUAGUAUGCGAUUCAUUUAUGCCGUUACCUUUGAAUCCACGGCCUCAAUAACUUCAUCAUCCUGAUUAUACCUAGUAGUUUGGAAAAUAUCCUGAAAGUAUUGAAUUAUAGUGCUUUCGAUCCCCGCAUCAUCAUAGACCAAGCGCCAUUUGUAUUUUUCAAUCGUUUGAUCGAGUUCUUUGGCCUUCGGUUCCUAGCACAUUGAUGGAAGAACCGUGUAUUACAGCUGCCAACCUUAACCCAUAAAGCACAUGAUAUCUGCCUCCAAUACUUCUCCUUCUGACCCUAGAGUUGAUCAAGCCGCUACAUUAGCCGGUGCCGUUCAACCAAAACAUCUUCUGUAAGUGGCUGGGCGAGUAUGAAUCCCAUCUUUUGACGCAUUCCAUUAAUUUCUUCUUGUCUCCCUUUAAAUAUUGAUUGCUGCCAUUUCAGUAAAGUUAUUCUAGUGGCUUUAAUUUUGUCACUAUCUGAAACAUCAACACACCAGUACCUGGUUGGUUCCAAGCAUCACGGAUAAUACAUUCACAUUCCUCAUGAUCAUCCCAAAAAUUUUCAAAUCAAAACAUCUUGCUUUUGCGUCUAACAUGGCUAUAUGUUCCAUAUACCUCUAGAAGAAUAGCAUAUGGUCAAAUUUGCUAGGAUUACGUUGCUGAAUAAGUCAUUCCACCUAUCUGUCGCAAGCAUCUUAUCUAGCCGUUCUUUGAUACCCCAUGACCUAGUAGUAAUCCAGGUGUAAGGAGUACCCAAGAACCCCAUAUCAUGUAGAUGGCAGUCGCACAUUGCAUUCUGUAAUGCCAUUAUUUGGUUUAUAGGACGAACUGAACCCCCUUAUUUCUCGUGGAUACUAAGUAAUUCAUUAAAGUCCCCUCCAAUUAACCAUGGAAGAGAGCAACUCGUGACCAAUCGCCUCAUAAUAUCCCAGGAAAUUUGGCGUUCCUCAGUUGCUGAGUGCUCGUAAAAACCAGUGAAUCUCCAAUGAACUGCAUAGCCUAUUGCUCAUAUUUCAGAGUAAAUAAAUCUCUCAGAUGAAGAAAUGAUUCUCAGGUUAAUGUCCCAUGUCUAAAAUAAUCCAAGACCUACCUGACUGUCCAUUUGAACUAACCCCGAACACUCUUCUAAAUCCAAACUUCAUCCUCAAGCCAUUUAGUACCUCCGCCUUGCACUUGGUUUCAUAUAGGAAAACCAAUUUGGGAACUUUUUGCCGGAUAAUAUCCUGCAACGCUUGAACUUUCUGAGGGUUCCCAAGCCUUGGGUAGUUCCAAACUAGUAUAUUCAUGGCUGUCAGUGGGGCUGAACAUCCUCAGUUUCCACCGAUGAUACAAGUCUUGUUGUUCCAUUUCCUCUGCCCAGUAACCCGCAUCUCUUUGCUUCUUCCAUUUCUUUUGAAGGACUAACCACCACCUCGCACCUUUGGCUUUCCUGCUGCUCGAGGUCAGCAUAAUUGGUCACCGUGGAUCUCCCCAUUCGAUUACCUCAUUUGAGUCUAGAGUUUUUCUUCUUCAGGUUUGAGAGAUGUAAUGGGCGCCCAUAGUUAUGGUAUCUCAGUGUCUUUUGCUUCUUAGUUGGUGGAGUAAGGAGCUCCACGUCAUUUAUCCCUCCUUUUUUUGGAUCUUCCUUUUGCUGGGUAUUAACCUCAUCCAUUGGGCCUUGGUUAUUUUCCCCAGUAUCCAUUACUUCCUCGCUAGAAUCCACCUUACUCCGGAAGUCAACAUUUGAGGCCUGUACCAUUUGGGCUACCACCACUAGGCUUUAAGCGUUCACAUCCGAAAUGUUUGUUCCUGGGGGGAAACAAUCCUUCACAGUAUAUUUUGUGGGCUUGGCUCGCUCCGCAGCCAGGAGUAACCCAUUAACAUUUUCAAAAGCCCAGGGGGGAAUCCUUUUUGGGUCACACCAAUUUUUCUCCAGAGAGAGCCCGUUAAUAGCAAUAGUAAGAGUUCCGUUUGUAAAAUAGGUCUCAUCACUGUCUAGGUGCCACGUAUGCCUAUAGUCAGGUCGUGUAUCCAAUCGCGUUGUAGGAAUAUGCAUAGCCUCAGAGUUUGUCCCCGCCAAGUGUAGUGUCAUUUCCUGGUUAGGGUGGGAGACUAACCCUGUAGACUUACCUACCACGUCUAUGCAAUUCGGCCUCGUGUCAGUACUUGUUGUCGCCAUGUUGACUUAUUACUCCGCCAUUCGACGUUGCAAGUAUCUGUUCGCCGGGAUAUCCAAUACCGUGUCCGGCAGGCCAUAGAAACCACCAUAAAAUUGUUCCUAUUUUAUUCUCCAAUGGUUCUCUCGGGCCUCGAUCGUCGAUGCUCCCUUUCUUUAUGGAAAUAACAUAGAAUUUGCCCUGGAUGCAGGUGAGGCCCGGAGGUCACUAGUAAAUUGAGUUCCACCUGCCGUCGAAAGUGGCACCAGACGAGGACGCGUACUUGAGUGGCCCAAUCUCCCACAUUGGUAGCAGAAAAUUCUCAAUCCUUCAUAUUUGAAUCGGAUCGUAUAGGAGCCCUAAGCUGGGCAUGACACCGAGCAAAAUGUAAUCAAGGGUCGACAAGCAUCAAAGUCCACUUUUAUUCUCAAGAAACCCCGAAAGCCCACCUCUGCUAGAUCUUCAACUUCAAGAACUACUCUGAUUUUUGCCCCUAGACUUUUAACAUUUUUCAAUGUACAGUAGUUCUUGGGUAUCCCAUGAGCUUGCAUCCAAUAAACAGCUUGAUCAGCUUCAAUGUCAUCAAGAGAAUGAAAUGAUGGCCAGAACUUCACAGAAAAUGUAUAAUCCCUGAUAAACCAGAGGUUGCCUUCCAAAAUUUUUCUAGCGACAUGCUCCUCUCCAACUGUGAUGGCAUAUAUAUUCGCUUUGGCCCUUUGAACCCUGACCACCCCUAUUUUGUUCCAGGCUAACUUGAAAGUCUCCUUUACCACCAUUUGGGAAGGCUCAUUAUCAGCAAUUAAUCUCCCCACCAAAUGGAUGUUGUUAUCAAAUAUUUCCUCCAAGUCUAAACUGUCUUCAAAGGUAAUAUUAAGGCAGUCCAUCAUCUCUUCCUCGAUAUCCAUAUGAACUUUGAAAAGAAAGACCACCUAACCCACAAAUACUCACAGUAGAGAUAUCAGAAUAAGUAUAAAACUCACAGCACGGAAGCUGGAGUUAGUAAGAACCCACGACCUGGAGCCAGAGUUAUAAGCCAAUAAUUUUGCAAAUUUCAGCUACACAUUUGAUCAAACAGGUGGUGUGCAUGCGCGGGGGAAUUGUUCUUCACCACUUUCUUCUACACCAAUGUUCUCUUAGACAACACUAUUGGAGUGUACCCUUUUCCUUGCUCUACUUCUCACCACACCUAGACCUGCAAUUCCUCUCUGGAGGUGGGUGACUGCUGAGUGGUGAAGAUGUUGAUAGGAUUAAAAGCACACCACAAAGUAGUACACAAAUGUCCUAUUGAUUUUCCUUAUUAACACUAAGAUUUGUCAAUUGUAGCAUAUGAAAAAUAAGGGUAUUUCCCGUAGAAGAUUGUUUUAUCUAACUACUUAAAAUGUCACAAAAACUGGGUUGCUGUUCCUACUGACCAGCUAUCGAAAAAUAAUUAUUAGACUAACUUACACUUAUCUAAAGUCUACGAAAUUUUAUAUGAAGACACUAGACACACAGAGCUACAAUCACACAAAUUUUUGGAGAUGAUUUACUAUUUAAAUUAAAUCGAACAAAAACAGGACAGAAACAAAUUUCAAGUAGUUCACAAAUUAAGACAAACAAGUUAGGGGAAUUACUAUCCACCACCAAAUAAUCAUGCAAACAUGUUAUGUUUCAUUCAAAUUCCUUUUAUUUCCGAAUGAAGAUGCUCAAGUUGGCUCAAUGUUAAAACUCAAUCUAUUACUCUUUCUUAUGUAGUAUGUUAAGAGAAUGUCGUUUUCAACUUAACUUAGUCCCUAACAAGCAAUCUAGAAUGACGUGUUCAUAGAUUUAACAAGUAGAAAUCAUUAAGAACGAAAAGAGUUUGAGUCAUCACAAUGCAUCGUAAGUACUGGCGUUGUCUUACUUAUCCUAUAAAUUGGUUCACAUGUUAAUCGCAAUUAACAAGUACUACUCUAGAACAUAUGUAGGUCCUCAUUCGACAAGAGCAGGCACACAAAUAUUCAUAGCAUUAGAAUCAUAGAUAUGCUUACUAAGUAUGCAUCUGUAGAAAACACAUAAAUAAUUCAUCACUGAGACAAGUAGUGAACCAAUUUUCAUCAUUUCAUAAAAGUAAUUCAAACAAAAUGUCAUAACAAACUUACAAUCAUAUUCGGGGCUUCAAAACAGCCCCUAACUACUAAAAAUUUAGUUACACAUAAUUCUCAAAUAAAACCAAAAGAAAGACAUGAGUUUGAGAAGAUAAAACCGAAAGAAGAGAAUGCCAAGAUAUCCUCCUUUCCUUUUCUUCCUUCCCCAACGCUGCUGCCUUGCCUUUUUUCCUUCCUUUUCGUUGCAACCUGCAGCCUUGUUUUUUUUUCUUUCUUUUUUUUUCAAAAUUAUUUCUAUAAAAACUGCCCUUUAUUUCCUCCCCUAACGCUGAUUUUAAACCAAUUAUUGCUACAUUCUUUUUUUCUCCAUAACUCCCCCCACUAAUAGCAAUUUCGUGAUGACAAUAAGUGAGAGAAAAUGGUAAAACAAUUGUAACUCUUUGGGCAACCUUUAUGCCAAUUACUCCCACUUAAUCCUCAUCUUUAAUUCCAUUUCCUCUGAUAUUUGAAUAAGUGUCAGCUGGCUUGUUCUUGACUGCAUCAGUUUUGGCUGCUAGAUUUAUUGAGUUUAUUGCUUUCAUUGCAGUUACAAACUGCUCUGUCUCUUGUGACCUUUUUAGUGUUAAAACGGCCAUAACUUCUUUCAGAAAAAUGAUAUUAGCAAUCCAUGAAAUGCUUCAGAAAAUAGACAUCGGUAACUUUCCAAGCAUAUAAGGCUCAUUCUCUAAUUCAUUCUGAGCUGUUCGUAACUUGCUUCCAAAGUCAGCUGAUCUACAUAGACUGUUUAGACGAAUUUGUUACUUAAAAUCCCACUUGUGCUAUUUUUCUUUUCUUUGCUUGACAAAUCCCACAAAACACAAAAACAAAGUAAAUAGCUAAAAAAUAUAAGGAACUAACUAAGAAAAGACAAGUGAAUUUGAUGUAAAAUAUAUAUAAAUAUGAGCUUAUCAGAUGUGAGAGAAUUCAGAGAUGUGAGUGUUGUGCGUGAAAAAGUAAAGAAUUUUUUUUGCUGUAAGAUCUAAUUUCAAACGAUUUGGAUUUUAUUGAUCCUCCCCUUCUGGAAUAACAUUGAUCUGAAGGAUCCUCCUCCCUUGAAAGUAGAGACACCAUCAGAAAAUACUAUCGUUACCGCUCAAAAUUUGCAAGUCAAACUCAAAUGGGUGUGCAUGCUCACAUAUCGUAAGGUUAACAUAGUGAAUAUAAUCAACAACUGUAGUAAAAUGAACACAAGAAUAUGUAGUGGUCUGCCCAUAACAGGGCUACGUCCACUGCAAUUUGUUUAAUAUAUUUCCUGAGAUUAUAAACAGGACUACAUCCGCUACAGUCUAUUACACAAGACUUAGGGGUGGUUUGGGAGUGAGGUGCUUAAAAAAAAACACCCAUGAAAAAAAGCUGUGAGGAUUUUAGGUGUUUGGUAAACUGAAAAAAAAAGAAGGCUUAUUUUGGAAGAUGCUGUGAGAAUAAGCUGAAAUCAAAGGAAAAAGCUGAAGCUGCUAUUUGCAGCUUUGGAAAACUGGCUUUUUUUUAAAGCACACGGAGCUACAAUGCUCAUUUAAUGAAAAGACCCACUAUCAGACUACUUUUUUUUUUUUUUCCAAAAGCACUUUUACCAAAAAAGUUUACCAAACACUCUGCUGAUUUAUUUCACAGCCGCUUAUUCUCACAGCAGCUUUUUUUUCAAAGCACAACAAUACCAAACCAGCCCUUAGAGUUUUGAUAACUCAUUGGAAUGACUUUAUGAAAUAUGUCAAAUUUACUCUCAUUGUGGAACACACGUGAUAAUUUCGCACGACAAACAAACUAUGUUAGGGAUAUUUUCAUAUUGCAACAACUAGGAAACUACAAUGAUCAAAUUCGAUACAACUGAAAAUAUAUUAAACAAAAUUAAAAUUUUGGGUUUAAUGCUAUGUAUUAUUCAUUUCUACGGAUGUUUUAACUGUCAAACUUUUACUAGGAUUUUGAAUCUCAACCAUUUAUUCCGUAAUUCAAUUAUACGAUAUUUAUAAAAAAAUCCAACUCAAGAACUAUAGUCAUGAAUCAGAUUUGGAAUAGGGCUCUAUUUGAUUGGACCAUUUGGUUUAUCCCAACUGGCUAGGGGUUACUGGAUUUUUAGAACUUGGGUCUGUAGACUUACCCGGUUGCAGAGAAGCAUCGAAAAUCCGAACGAUAAGGUGUUUUUCAGACAUGGGAGAGGUAGUAGAAAUACUGCCGGAGCACCGGAACUUGUUCGCAGAAUACUAUAUGAUCGUCGUCGCUUUCCAAUUCUUCUCCUGUGGAUGAGUUAAAGAGGUAAUUUUUCCAAAAUUUUUCCGUAGAAAAAGCAAUCAAUCAGAGGGGGCGAAUCAAAGGUCUUAAAUUAUUUGUGAAUUAAUAUUGUGAAAAGAGUGUUAGGUGCCUCACAUCUUGAAGGAGAAGCUCCUUUGAGUAAUGCAGUGGAGAAAUUUAGAAUUUUCCUCCGUGGAUUUUUAUUUGAUUUUAGAUUUUUGAGUGCUUGCAAGCAGCUACUACGCUCCCAGCAGUAGGGAAUAGACCCGGUAAAGGAAACAAUCAGACUGGGAGAGGUAAUAGAAACCUAAACCGGAGCAACCGGAGCUUGUUAUCAGCUCCGAUUGUAUUCAUUAUCGUCGCUCGCUUCCAAAUUCUUCUCCAGCUAGAGCAGUUAAAGAAGGUAAUUUGCUCAACGAUUUUUCACUUGCAUUCAAACAAUUUAAUCGUAGUUUGGUGCGAAUUUAAGCUCUUAAUCAUUUGUUUGAUGCUUUAACUGCAAUGUUGUGUGAAAUUAAACUAUAUUUUUGGGUGUUUUUUGUGUGAUUUUGUGUUGGCAGGGAGUGAAGAGUGCUACGGCACCCGAUUGCGGGAGAAAUUAAAGACAUCUUAAAGGAGGCAAGCUACUCGUCGCAGUGAGUGAUUUUUAUUGGUCAAUCAUAUUUUCCCAAUUUUUCAAAAGGAAUUUUAAUGCUGGCAAGUUUGAGCCUUGCAUUGCCGUAGCCAAAGUAGCUUUUCGAGUAGUUUGGAUUUUAGCAGUGUGGUGAUCUUCAAGUUGGAAUCCACAUUUCGUCGAGCAGUUGCGCAGUCUGCGUUUUCUCGGAGUUUGCAGUUGCUAAACAAGGAAAAUUUGCAAAUUUAUUGCAUAUAUUUCAAAUAACUUAAAUUCUGGGGCAAAUCUCAUCCAUUUGUUUUUAUACGAAAUAAUGCAAAUAUACAUAACUAUUUGGGGUUUGUAUGUAUCCUUUUCGUCCCACAGAGGGUAAACUAUAUUUAAAGUUGGGUCAAUAUUUGUUUGUAUAUUAUACACUUUUCAGAUAUUUAUUUUAAUAAUUUGAAUCAUAAUAAAUAUUUUAUGCAGAAUUUUCUUGGGUAAGUAGUUGGUUCCAUGGUCGAAAGAUUUACAAUACGACCAGAUUUGUUUUGCUUAAUUUACUUGUAGGAGAUUUUUCAUAGACUUUGUGUAAUUUUAUGUUGAUUGUAAGUUAAAUGCUAAAGUUGGAAGCCUGAGCUUAUUUUCUUAUUUCUAUACAGGUUGGACAUAUGUUGUGCUUCUAAAUGUUGUGCUGUUACCUGGUUCUUAAGAUUUCUCUGUUUACAUCCAUUUCUUGCGAUUGUAUCUGGAGGGCCUGUAAAAAGGAGUUGGUAUUUGUACCGAAGUCCAGCUCUUCUUUUUAAAUUUAUUAUUUUGAAAGACAGUUUAUGUUCUGACAAGGUACUGUUCUGUGCAGGCAAGAUGUUGUGCAUACUGGACAUGCGGGGCUGGAAAAGUUGUAAAAGCCUAUGUUUAGGCAAAUGAGCGAGUUAUACUUUGGAUUUGUUCUUGUUUCAGCAAGAUGAUAUCAUGGAGGGCUGGAGGAGUUGUAAAAAUAUUUGUUAUGGUAAAUAAAGUUGAGAUUACUUGAUUGUUAAUUCUCAUAUCGUUUAGGUGCCAUAUUGUGUUCUUGUAAGCAAGUAAAUGAUGUAAACAACACUAGGUACACUGUUACUUUCGUGUUGAACGCUGCUGAUGUUUGCAUACUACUUAUCUUGGGUCAGAAAGAAAAGAGAUGGUCUUUGUUUAGCAUGCGAUAUAAAUCAUCUUAAAUAAAGGUUUGAAUAUUGCUUCUGAUUCUCUGCAGGUAGGAAUUAUUCCUUGGUUGAUAUUAUCGACCAGGGUUAGCAAGUUUGUAUGUCGACUUGCCAAGUUCUAGAGGUUAGAUGAUUUCUGUCCUGCCAAGUUUUCAUACACAUGUUAACGUGGUUUUGUUUUGACUAUUACUUCACGAUAUCUUUAGUCAUGAACUUAGGAUUGUUACCUGCUCAUUUAAUUUGUAUCAGUGAUGUGCAGUACUAUUUUGGUCGUCUGUGUAAAUUGAGUUUAUUGUUUAUCUUAAAAAACUAACCUCUUGAAAAACCCUUUCUUUGAAGUAAUUUAUUAAAAUCCAGCAAAAUAAUGUGAUGCUUUUUAUGUUUGGUAAUCAAAUGCCUAUGCGAUCACCGACAACCAUGCCCAUGAUGGAAUUAAUAGUGGAUCCAAGAGAAAAUAAAGAAAUAUGAUACUUGGAGCGCAAGACUUCAAUGCGAACUCAAACUCACAAAUGAGAAGAAAGGUACGACAAAUAUUAUUUAUUCUCUAGUAGAAUUGACCGGAACGCUCUUAAUUAAUUGAGCGCUGUGCCAAUUUUGUUCAUAUCGCAUUGAAAGUAUGAUGCGGGUAAUCCCAUGGUAAUAUGCAUCUCAUGUACUUGAAUGAAAAAGAACGAGGAAAUUUAUGCCUGAACAUUAUUCUUGGCACAUCUAAUACUAGUAUCUUGGCGACCGGAAUAUUCAUGGAUUUAGCCAAGGCAAAGAAGAAAAGGCAUCCUAGCACACAAGUAGCGACAGCAAGUCCUGGCGAACGACCACUCGGUACCACAUAUGUGCCGGUAUUGAAUGCAACCACCAUUGCCAUUAAGGCAAACAAAGUAAAGGAUAACGAAAGCAUUCAAUCAAAAAUUCAGAAAUCACACCAAUUCCCAUAAUCGAAAGCAUUCAAUCGAUAAUUCAGAAAUCAUACCUUUAAUCAAUCAAUCAUACUAGCGUCCACUAGCUUAAGUAUAGCAUGCAAGGUAUGCUAGCAUCAACUAGCUAAACUCACUACUGGUAAUAAUCAAUAAUGCUAGUGUCUACUAGGUUAAAAUAUCACUUGCAAAUAAUCUGUGGCCGAGGAUAGUUAUACAACAUAUAUAAGAGAUCAUGUGGUGAAAAUAAAUCACCAAUGAUCUCAAGAUAUCAUCAAAUAUCAGCAUAAGUCUCAUCAAAGACCAACAUAGUAAUAUGCAUCCGCAUAUAAGACAUAUUAUCUAUAUACUAAAACCCGGUAGAAAAGCACUGUUCAUGAGCAGUGUAAUGGCUAAAAUGCCCUUUGAUAUCUUCUUUGUUGCCCUUCGUCUUGUACACAUCUAUAUAGUGUAAAAAUGUUUAGUUUUUCAAAGGGGUCCACUAGCAGGUAAGCAGAGCCUCCUUCCCCAAUAGGCUCCUUGCCUAUAUCCUUCAAAUGGCACAUGCAAUGGUGUGGCUAGGUUCCUCUCAUCCUAGAGAUUAAGAUUUCGAGUUUUUGUAGUUCGAUUUGUGAAGGAAUUAGGGUGGUUCUCUCUCACGGUGGUAGAAAGAGAGUUGAGUUCGAGAGUGUAAAGAGAGAAUGGAGAGAGAGUGAUUUCAGCUGAGGAAAAGAGAGAGGCCGAGAGUCAUGUAAUCUCACUUAAACCCAUUUAAGUAAAAUUACAAAAUUGCCCUCUACUAGUUAAAAUUACAUUUAGGCCCUCAUGAUUUCGUUUCGAUUUACAGCGCUUCAACGUGUAAAACCUACUGUACGAUAUAAUAAAGGUUAUGGAAGAUCACAAUAUCAAAGUACGCCAGGAUUUCAGACUUUCUGAGUCGACUGCUAAUAAAUUAUUCUUAAGUGGCAACCCACCCGUUCGUGGUCAAAAUGGCUCAAGUUCAUAUUGGUUUCAGGGUAACUAAAUAUAACAAGACUUGCUUAGGAUCAACGUGAUAACAAAGUUCUCUCUUACACAGAAGAAUACCGAAUUAAUUGAGGUGCGUUACAACUUAUUACACAUGUCAACCGAGUACCUCAGGUCCAGCAACUUCCAAGUUGCUCGUUACUGCAUGUCCUCCAUGGAAUAGGUGUUGGCGACGCCAGUUAAGUAUUUAGUUUCUUAUUUCGGAAGUAGAAAAUGGAAAAGAGAGAACUUUGCAAAACGCCAAUACAGUAGAAGAUGAGAAAGGUGCAGCCAGGAGUCAGCAGCAAAGCUGCCCAAGGUGCUAUCCCUGAGAUGAUAUGGGGGAGCUGAGACCCAUGUUAGGUGGUGCAUAUUGUGCGCGUAAAUCUUGUUAAAUGCACCAGACACUCGAUUCCUGCCUAAUACGCAAGAUGAGGCCCAUCUAGGUCAAGAGACACUGUUGCCUAUUGCACAAAUCUGUGUCUCCGUCUUGGUACAAAUGUGCGUCGAAAUGGAUGUGUAUUUUUGUCACGGCAAGUAAACUCCUCACCGUUAUGAAAAGGAGUCAUCCUAAGUUGGAAGCCAUGAAGCAUCGUAGAAAUCGAUAUCUAGAGAACAUAGGGCCAUGAUUGCUAAGUGCUGAGUUAUAUCCACAGCUUCGAAAAACUAGAUAUGUUCUUUAGAACAAGGUUCCUGUCGUAGUAUUCUUGGACAGACAAGGUUAUGGGGGUAAACUCGUGGGGCUAUCCGGUCUCCUUUUUUUUCGCAUCUUGGGAUCCACAUCGGGGCAAUAGUUAUGAGGAACCUGCUGAGCCAUUGACGCUCUGAGUUCUUACCGAGUUGCUCGCCUCCCUAAUUCGUAGCCCACGAAACUCGGAGUUUUCUUUUGCUUUAGAGAUAUGACACUUUCCUCUGCAUGCAUCCUUGCGUGACUAUCUAUAGAGUUUUUCGCUAUCGUUCACCUUCUAUGCCGACUAUGGGCACAUUAUUUGUGGGUGAUUAUUCAGAGUAUUCUUGAGCUCUUGAAAUGGUUCUACUCUAGUACCCUGUUCUGAAAUUCGAAGUAGAUGUCCAUAAAAUUUCCUCAAGUCAGCACGUUAGGAACACUAAAAAUACUACUUUAAUUAUUAUCAUUGGGUUCAAAACAAACCCAUCUCCGAGAGCAAUUCAUAUACAGUGUAUGUUGCGGACAGAGGUCGACCAAACUGAAUGGCGUGAGCACAGUGCAGAGAAUGAUGAUUUUAUAACCGUUCCACAAACUACGGUGCUGAGUCAUCGAUGAAUGUAGGCAAUGCGAGAAAAGCGGUUAAGUUUGUGUGCAUCUAAGAUUGACACCUGAACACCAAUUCCAAUCAGAGGCUUUCACAGUAUAGUCUCAGCUAGAGUCCACUAUCGCAAAUAUGGGUCAGUAAAUGUAGACAAGCUAAAGAGCUGGCUAUAGGGUGAAUGGAUGGGUGGUGUGAUCACCAUGCCAACAUCAGCGCUUUAGCCCAUUUCCAAACACAAAUGACCAAUAAGUUGCAUAAUGUACCGGUUCACAUGCAAAUGGAAAAUUGCCAAUUUGGCAAUGUAUUAACAUGAUGUGGACUUUUUGGCCUAAAUUAAGUGUGCCAUGUGUGGGUGGGAGAACUAUAUCGUACAUGAUUGAUGUUAUGGCGGAUUAUUGGUAAAGAAGUGCUGAUUACGUGACUAUUGUAAUUACAAAUCUAUUCCAUUGCUUCAGAACAGCGAAAGCAGCUGCAGUGUUGUAACGCUACGAAGACUAUGGCAAUUCGGAAUGCAGAAGGGCAUCUUGAGCAAACGGAGGGCCGUGUGGCUUUUCAACCAUUUGGAGAAAACAACAUACAUCCUCCUCUUCAUACCUUUAAUUUGGACACUGGAUCGUAUUAACUGUGCCUGUACGGAGCCCUUGUCAAAGAAAUAAUGACCCAAGAGCACCGUACUGACCAUGAUUUCGGCUUGUUCUCACCUGGAUCUUGUUUGAUUGGGUCAACAAGUACAAGUAGGGGCGUACGAAAACAUGAACAUUGUAGCUAGGAUGAGAAAAACCUGAACCACCUGAGGUACUAUGCAGACUAAGUGUCUUAGACUGCACAUCCAGAUUGGGCAGUGGAGUCAUUACUAGCGGACAGACAAAACGUGCUGUUCGAACCUGUGAAAAGUAGGCCUAGAUAAGAGACACCCAGACGAGUUGUCCUACCCACAUGACGAAUCAAGAUAUUGAAUGUCUGAAUUAGAAACUCAUUCAGAUCGUGGGCAUUAGAGUCAGAACAGCGAUGGUUGUAUGUGUGCGGCUAUCGGGACGGAACUUUAAAGGAUAUACUCAACCAUCUUGCUCAUCCGACAAGCUAUGGCAUGAGUAUUCUGCUAGGGCAAUUGUAGAUAGGGCUAUCAGGUUCACUUAGGUUUAUGUGGAACACUGGACUCGCUUACGAUGUAGAGCGCUAGUGGAUUUUACUCUAAUUGUCGAAUGCAUUGGAAAGGUUGGGAGGCUACAAGCCUGCUCAAGCAAAACACUGAACAAAUAUCACCUACAUUCAGUCGCGAAGCGUAUGCGAACUCGACGAUGGCUGAACCGGAGACUCACUACCUUGCAAAGUAGACUAUCUCUGAUGCAAAGUUGUGAAUGGCAUUGAUGCGCUCCGCUAGUAUAUACCUGAUAUACUUGUGGAUGACUGUGCUAGCUCUAUGCUGCGUUUGGGCGAAAAAUGGGCGACAAGACUGAAGGAUUCCUUGGUGAUAACUAGGAGUUUUAUGAUGGAAGACAUGAAAAAAGGUGUGUGAAGUAAGUGGCAAGUUCUUUCGCUAAAACUUGACACAGAUAACGAAUAAAAAAAAAAGCAGUCACGCACUCCAUAGACCUGAACGAUUAUUCGAAAGACCCAUCCGCCGCCGAAGUUCACUCCGCCUGUUACAGCUUCGCCUCAGAGCGCGCUCCGCCCACCGCCCGUGUGCUCAGUCACGCACGUGGACGCCUGGCUUUCGUCUAUUCUGGGCUCAAGAUCCAUUCGUUGACUCCCCUCUGGUUUCUGCGAUUUGGUCUUAGUCUAGUAGAUUAAUAAUUUCUCUCCGAGUCUCAGUUCCCAAUUCUUAAGCAUAUGAGACGUAACAAUAUACACGUGGAAACAACUCAGGAUAGGCAAUAAAUCCCGGAAGAGUAGAUAACAUUAUAGCUCCACCUAUUACAACAUGUGAUUUUAGAAAAAUGUACAAAAUUUGUAUAGUUCAAUAGGAGGGCAAGUGUAAACAAGCCAUAGCCUUGUAACUUCCAAUGAAUAAAGACAACAUUGUACGUAUCAUAAUUUCUCUCACCUAUUUGGUUUUUUCAAUAACUGUAUAUAUUUUAGAUUGGCACACUAAUUUGUUUUGAUCAAUAGAAUGAGAUUUGGAUUAAAAAUAAAGGACUUGAUAUGGUUCAUCUGACUUAAAGUCCAAUUCUACUAUAUAGACGUUUAUAUUGAAAAUUCAGCCAUAAAGUAUAAAAAAUGUGAGAAAAAUAUAUCUAUAUAUACAAAUAGCACCCAACACACUCAGGUAACGAAGGAGCAAAGAAACUGAAUGCGAUUAAAAAAUAUGUAGGUGUAGACAAGCAGGGGUGUGACAGUGACCCAUUGGGCCUUAGGGGUUAAAGAAGAGAUUCGAGUACGCAAUAUUAAACCGUACAAACCCUUGACAAAUUUACCAAAUCUUGAAAUUUGUGACCUAAAAACAAUUCUAGAGGUGGAAGAAAAAAUUACUAGGAUACCUAUACCUCAUCCCACAGGCGUGAAGAUUACCAUCAAUUAGGAUACAAAACUUUCGUUAAAUAAUUUAAACACCGCGAAGCGGCUAUUGUAUAAAUUCAGUUUGAAGCAAUGGAUACUGGCAUGAGUAACUUGCCCAAUUAUUGGUUUGGGGAAAACACUGUUUUGGUUUUUUUUAACCCAAGUCUCACAAGGGAAAAUCUUUUAAUAUUUAUCUUUAUCUCAUACCAUUUAUCAGACUUAAAAAUUUCUAGAUUUCACUAAAUUACAAACAAUAUAAAUACAUAAGAUGCUCAUAAGACUUAUCGAGAAAAUUAGAGGCUUACAAUCCAAAUAGAAUUUACAAUAAAUACUAAAUAGAGGAGUUAUCAAGAUACCCAAUAGAAAUUAAUAAAGUUUUUCAAAAUCACAAAUGAUAAAUUGGAAUAUACAUUACCCGAAUAAGGUAGAAAUUCAUUGUAUCACUUACAAGCUGACAGAGUCGGAAGCAUAUAGGAGAGAGAGCAUUGAUUGUAGAACUAUUGAGUUCUGGGUAAUAGGCCUACACUUACAAAAAGCAUAAACCAAAAAAACUAUAUUAAAUUAGAGUAGAAGAACAAUUAAGUUGAAACCAUUUAGGAUACAAAUUACCACUAAAAAAUAAAGCAUAUUUUUCCUUUGUUUUCUCUUCUUCAUUUUCUGUAAAAAUUAGAACAGCAAUUAUCAUUUGUGGCCCGUUGGUGUCCUGGUGAGAUAAGUUUUACUUAUCUAGUCAUUGCCGCGUAAAAGCACUAACCCACAGUGAGGUAUGCAAACGGAGUACAAGGAUAUCACCAGAUUAAUUUUUAGGAGUCAAAGUGUAUACCUCUAAGAAGGGUUGCACACCCUCCCCCUAGUCUAAUGGGCAUUUUUCAUCUAGCAUAACUUCACUAGCACAGUAUGAAGGUGGGUUUAGAAUUAGAUUAUUGUUUGUAUAGUUAUUUUGUGAAACUUUUUAGGAUUAAUUUUCUUUUUUUGUAUUUGGUAUUUUCCUAAUUUCCAGAGUAUCAAUAAUGUUCACCAAUACAACAAUUGUUAUAUAAUGUAGGUUUUUUAUUUUUUCAAAUUUAAUUGGAAUAUUAUUUUUAAUUAUGUGUUAAUAAUUUAUUUUUAAUAUAUAUAUUAUAUUUAUAAAUAAUAUUAUUAAUUGUUUUUCGGUAUGGUACGGUAAUACCUGUGGUAUGUAUCUCAUUACUCCAAUACCUGUUACCAUGAAAUCGAUACGGGUCAAUGACCGAUCAUUACGAUUGUACAAAAAAUAUUGGCCAAAAUCGAGGUAUGAAAGGUUUGGAAAUUGUUGGUCACGGCAAUUAGCAAAGAAAAAAUUCACCCCUAAGCCAUGGCAAGCAGUGGAGUGGGGUUUUGCCUGUGGAAGUGCAUCUGCUGGGCUUCUUUUUUUGGGUCGUCAAAGAUAAAUUUUAUAAAUAUAAGAUUCGGUAUCAUUUAUUGAAUAACUAGACAUACAUCAAAGAUUUUUUUUAAUUAAUUUGAAAAUUGACAUUAACCACAUAUGAGUAAUACUGAAAAAAAACACUAAUUAUCUACUACAUUACCGCAGCAAAAUUAAAAAAAUUGAAAACGGAAAUGCGCAAUCUAAAGCACAAAAUUUAGUUAAGUUGUCAUGCACUCACAUAUUAUAUCAUGCUUCAAGUCACAUUAUGCAGUACAUUCGCCAUGUCUUGUCGCAAGAAGUCAGCUGUGCGCAACUUGCAUUGCGAAUUCCCUGGUCGUCAAUAACUCAAGUUGGAUCUUAUCCUUCUUUACUCUUCACUCUUGAGUCCUCCAAAUCUCAUCCAUUGUUCCUAUUUCAUUUAAAUUCCCAUCAUCACAGUUCAAAGAUCACAAGUUCUUUCUGGAUUACUCUAUUGUUAUUAGGUGGCGCAAAAAGGUGUAUUCCACGUCUUGUCGAGGAACAGCGUGAACAUAAGAAAUAAUUUCAACAAAUGGAUCAUGAUGCCACAUUCAUACUGAUCAGCAGGCCAGAAGAAGCUGCAAACGGAUAAGAUUUUAGUUACUCGACCAACUAGGCUUCGUUUAAGACUAAUCGAGGGCCAGCUAAAAUACCCAAAUUGUGAGUUUUCGCCUGAGAUCAGUUUUUAAGCACGACGUAAGGUAAAACCUCGGGCGGUCUUCUAUUGGGCUCAAUCUCUUUACCACAGCGACAAACGUAUGACAUAUGGUCAAAUCUUGUAACUUCGGACACAUUUAAGGAGAAUGUUUGAAGGCAGUCGGCCACUGCUUGGCGUCGAGACCGUCUAGCCUACUGGGGUGCAUGUAUAGAAUUAAUGGUUUGGUUGUUUUGUGUACGAUUAGUUAUAACCCAAACAGUGAUUUGCGUUACCGAAACCUCAUUGGCGGCACCUUUUGAGGCAUGACAGACCGACCUAGGCUCUUCUUCUGUUAAGACUCGGCCUUGCUCAAGGUCGCCAUGGUGACGAACUUUUAUUGCCUGAUCGAUAAGAACUCCAACUAUAUCAACUAGCCCCUUUCUCGCCGCUAGGUGUAAGGCAGUCUCACCGCUCUUAUUGUGCAGCCAUAGUAGUGCGGGACACAUUUCAAGGAUAUCCUUCACAAUCCCGGCUGACUCCAGUGUGUUUUGUCCGAAUGUCGGCCUGCUUAAGCACGCUAUAUAAACAUGAAGGACAGUGUUAUUUGUUGCAGUCAGUUUUAGGUCAAGAUGUUCAACAUGUUCCCUGAGGGCAUCAAGGUCGCCUUGUUUCGCAGCACGAAACACAUCAAGUUCCAUGCUACCUAUCGAAACUGUAUUAUUGCCUUCUUUAGUAGCUCCCUCCUUGGUCUGAACUGCUAAGCGAUCAGUACUACGAGCACUCUCGGCCUGAUCAGUUGAAUGGGAGUGAUCCAUUUUUUGAUAUUUCGUUAUUACGUGCUUAGACAAGGGGAGCUUUUGGCCUAAUACAAGUAUAAUCAGAAAGAACUUGUUGAUCUUUGAGUGGAUGAUGGGAAUUUGAAUGAAAAGGAACAAUGGAUGAGAUUUGAGAGGCUCAAGAGUGAAGAGUAAACAAGGAAUACAAGAUGAGAUCAUUUAUAGAGCAGGAAUCCAAUGCAAUGCCACACUUCUGCAAAGAUGCC
This 22485-nucleotide long non-coding RNA is filed under the name Malus domestica (apple). RNAcentral describes it as "long non-coding RNA (MDOM_LNC014798)". The record is from RNAcentral. Lineage: Eukaryota; Viridiplantae; Streptophyta; Magnoliopsida; Rosales; Rosaceae.